This 301-nucleotide ribosomal RNA is filed under the name uncultured bacterium. RNAcentral describes it as "partial 16S ribosomal RNA". It matches the Rfam family "Bacterial small subunit ribosomal RNA", at positions 509 to 810 of the family's 1533-position model. The record is from RNAcentral.
CAGCCGCCGCGGUAAUACAGAGGGUGCGAGCGUUAAUCGGAUUUACUGGGGUAAAGCGUGCGUAGGCGGCUUUUUAAGUCGGAUGUGAAAUCCCUGAGCUUAACUUAGGAAUUGCAUUCGAUACUGGGAAGCUAGAGUAUGGGAGAGGAUGGUAGAAUUCCAGGUGUAGCGGUGAAAUGCGUAGAGAUCUGGAGGAAUACCGAUGGCGAAGGCAGCCAUCUGGCCUAAUACUGACGCUGAGGUACGAAAGCAUGGGGAGCAAACAGGAUUAGAUACCCCCGUAGUCCCUGUCUUUUAUACA